This 253-nucleotide ribosomal RNA is filed under the name uncultured bacterium. RNAcentral's name for it is "partial 16S ribosomal RNA". It matches the Rfam family "Bacterial small subunit ribosomal RNA", at positions 524 to 776 of the family's 1533-position model. The record is from RNAcentral.
UACGGAGGGUGCAAGCGUUAUCCGGAUUCACUGGGUUUAAAGGGUGCGUAGGCGGGUUUUUAAGUCAGCGGUGAAAGCUCCGAGCUCAACUCGGAAAUUGCCGUUGAUACUAUUAAUCUUGAAUUUAGUUGAGGUGGGCGGAAUGUGUAGUGUAGCGGUGAAAUGCUUAGAUAUGACAUAGUACACCAAUUGCGAAGGCAGCUGGCUACACGAAUAUUGACACUGAGGCACGAAAGCGUGGGGAUCAAACAGG